AGAUUGAACGCUGGCGGCAUGCUUUACACAUGCAAGUCGAACGGCAGCACGGGGGCAACCCUGGUGGCGAGUGGCGAACGGGUGAGUAAUAUAUCGGAACGUACCCGGAAAUGGGGGGUAACGUAGCGAAAGUUACGCUAAUACCGCAUAUGCCCUAAGGGGGAAAGCGGGGGAUUCGUAAGAACCUCGCGUUUUCGGAGCGGCCGAUAUCGGAUUAGCUAGUAGGUGAGGUAAAGGCUCACCUAGGCGACGAUCCGUAGCUGGUCUGAGAGGACGACCAGCCACACUGGAACUGAGACACGGUCCAGACUCCUACGGGAGGCAGCAGUGGGGAAUUUGGACAAUGGGCGCAAGCCUGAUCCAGCCAUGCCGCGUGAGUGAAGAAGGCCUUGGUUAGUAAAGUCU
Molecule: ribosomal RNA, 405 nt
Filed under: uncultured soil bacterium
Lineage: Bacteria
Description: bacterial SSU rRNA
Rfam family: Bacterial small subunit ribosomal RNA
Source: RNAcentral